This 400-nucleotide ribosomal RNA is filed under the name uncultured bacterium. RNAcentral describes it as "bacterial SSU rRNA". It matches the Rfam family "Bacterial small subunit ribosomal RNA", at positions 355 to 772 of the family's 1533-position model. The record is from RNAcentral.
UGGGGAAUAUUGCACAAUGGGGGGAACCCUGAUGCAGCGACGCCGCGUGAGUGAAGAAGUAUUUCGGUACGUAAAGCUCUAUCAGCAGGAAAGAAAAUGACGGUACCUGACUAAGAAGCCCCGGCUAACUACGUGCCAGCAGCCGCGGUAAUACGUAGGGGGCAAGCGUUAUCCGGAUUUACUGGGUGUAAAGGGAGCGUAGACGGCGCGGCAAGUCCGGAGUGAAAGCCCAUGGCUCAACCGUGGGACUGCUCUGGAAACUGUCGUGCUCGAGUGCGGGAGGGGCAGGCGGAAUUCCUGGUGUAGCGGUGAAAUGCGUAGAUAUCAGGAGGAACACCGGCGGCGAAGGCGGCCUGCUGGACCGUAACUGACGUUGAGGCUCGAAAGCGUGGGGAGCAAA